GGGAACUGCGUUNUGAACUGGGUGGCUAGAGUAUGUCAGAGGGGGGUAGAAUUCCACGUGUAGCAGUGAAAUGCGUAGAGAUGUGGAGGAAUACCGAUGGCGAAGGCAGCCCCCUGGGAUAAUACUGACGUUCAUGCUCGAAAGCGUGGGUAGCAANCAGGAUUAGAUACCCUGGUAGUCCACGCCCUAAACGAUGUCGAUUAGCUGUUGGGCAGCUUGACUGCUUAGUAGCAUAGCUAACGCGUGAAAUCGACCGCCUGGGGAGUACGGUCGCAAGAUUAAAACUCAAAGGAAUUGACGGGGACCCGCACAAGCGGUGGAUGAUGUGGAUUAAUUCGAUGCAACGCGAAGAACCUUACCUGGUCUUGACAUGUACGGAACCUUCCAGAGACGGAAGGGUGCCUUCGGGAACCGUAACACAGGCGCUGCAUGGCUGUCGUCAGCUCGUGUCGUGAGAUGUUGGGUUAAGUCCCGCAACGAGCGCAACCCUUGUCAUUAGUUGCCAUCAUUCAGUUGGGCACUCUAAUGAGACUGCCGGUGACAAACCGGAGGAAGGUGGGGAUGACGUCAAGUCCUCAUGGCCCUUAUGACCAGGGCUUCACACGUCAUACAAUGGUCGGUACAAAGGGUAGCCAAGCCGCGAGGCGGAGCCAAUCUCAUAAAACCGAUCGUAGUCCGGAUUGCACUCUGCAACUCGAGUGCAUGAAGUCGGAAUCGCUAGUAAUCGCAGGUCAGCAUACUGCGGUGAAUACGUUCCCGGGUCUUGUACA
This 770-nucleotide ribosomal RNA is filed under the name uncultured bacterium. RNAcentral's name for it is "bacterial SSU rRNA". It matches the Rfam family "Bacterial small subunit ribosomal RNA", at positions 616 to 1387 of the family's 1533-position model. The record is from RNAcentral.